GUGCUUACUUCAGCAGCACAUAUACUGAAAGAUUAACAUGACCUCUACACAAGGAUGAAACACAGAUAAGUGAAGCGUUCCAUAUAUUU
RNAcentral lists this small nuclear RNA (89 nucleotides) under Echinops telfairi (small Madagascar hedgehog). The record is from RNAcentral. Lineage: Eukaryota; Metazoa; Chordata; Mammalia; Afrosoricida; Tenrecidae.